GUGCGUGUUCGGUAGCACAUAUACUCAUAAUGGAACGAUUCAGAGAAGAUUAGCAUAGCUCCUGCACAAGGAUGACAUGCAAAUUCAUGAAGGGUUCCAUAUUAAA
Molecule: small nuclear RNA, 106 nt
Filed under: Salvator merianae (Argentine black and white tegu)
Lineage: Eukaryota; Metazoa; Chordata; Lepidosauria; Squamata; Teiidae
Source: RNAcentral